Molecule: small RNA, 29 nt
Filed under: Bombyx mori (domestic silkworm)
Lineage: Eukaryota; Metazoa; Arthropoda; Insecta; Lepidoptera; Bombycidae
Description: ovarian small RNA-29052
Source: RNAcentral
UCGGUGUGAUGCCGUCGUCGUGAGGUCGC